GACGAACGCUGGCGGCGUGCCUAAUACAUGCAAGUGGGACACAAGGAAACACACUGUGCUUGCACACCGUGUUUUCUUGAGUCGCGAACGGGUGAGUAACGCGUAGGUAACCUGCCUAUUAGCGGGGGAUAACUAUUGGAAACGAUAGCUAAUACCGCAUAAUAUUAAUUAUUGCAUGAUAAUUGAUUGAAAGAUGCAAGCGCAUCACUAGUAGAUGGACCUUCGUUGUAUUAGCUAGUUGGUAAGGUAAGAGCUUACCAAGGCGACGAUACAUAGCCGACCUGAGAGGGUGAUCGGCCACACUGGGACUGAGACACGGCCCAGACUCCUACGGGAGGCAGCAGUAGGGAAUCUUCGGCAAUGGACGAAAGUCUGACCGAGCAACGCCGCGUGAGUGAAGAAGGUUUUCGGAUCGUAAAGCUCUGUUGUAAGUCAAGAACGUGUGUGAGAGUGGAAAGUUCACACAGUGACGGUAGCUUACCAGAAAGGGACGGCUAACUACGUG
RNAcentral lists this ribosomal RNA (505 nucleotides) under uncultured bacterium. RNAcentral describes it as "partial 16S ribosomal RNA". It matches the Rfam family "Bacterial small subunit ribosomal RNA", at positions 28 to 507 of the family's 1533-position model. The record is from RNAcentral.